GUAGUCAUAUGCUUGUCUCAAAGAUUAAGCCAUGCAUGUCUAAGUAUAAAUAAUAUUUACUGUGAAACUGCGGAUGGCUCAUUAAAUCAGUUAUAGUUUAUUUGAUAAUUGCUUACUACAUGGAUAACCGUGGUAAUUCUAGAGCUAAUACAUGCGCAAAGACCCGACUUCUGGGAGGGUUGUAUUUAUUAGAUACAAAACCAAUACGGAGCAAUCCGGUCCCUUGGUGAAUCAGAAUAACUAAACGGAUCGCAUGGCCUUGUGCCGGCGACGAAUCAUUCAAAUUUCUGCCCUAUCAACUUUCGAUGGUAAGGUAUUGGCUUACCAUGGUUACAACGGGUAACGGGGAAUA
Molecule: ribosomal RNA, 352 nt
Filed under: Uncultured Anurofeca
Lineage: Eukaryota; Ichthyosporea; Ichthyophonida
Description: SSU rRNA
Rfam family: Eukaryotic small subunit ribosomal RNA
Source: RNAcentral